Molecule: ribosomal RNA, 367 nt
Filed under: uncultured bacterium
Lineage: Bacteria
Description: bacterial SSU rRNA
Rfam family: Bacterial small subunit ribosomal RNA
Source: RNAcentral
GGAGGAUCCGAGCGUUAUCCGGAUUUAUUGGGUUUAAAGGGAGCGUAGGCGGACUAUUAAGUCAGCUGUGAAAGUUUGCGGCUCAACCGUAAAAUUGCAGUUGAUACUGGUCGUCUUGAGUGCAGUAGAGGUAGGCGGAAUUCGUGGUGUAGCGGUGAAAUGCUUAGAUAUCACGAAGAACUCCGAUUGCGAAGGCAGCUUACUGGACUGUAACUGACGCUGAUGCUCGAAAGUGUGGGUAUCAAACAGGAUUAGAUACCCUGGUAGUCCACACAGUAAACGAUGAAUACUCGCUGUUUGCGAUAUACAGCAAGCGGCCAAGCGAAAGCAUUAAGUAUUCCACCUGGGGAGUACGCCGGCAACGGUG